AGCCACAUCACAUUGAAACACCGGUUCCUGUACAAUCACUGAAGUUAAGCAAUGUCAAGCCUGGUCAGUACCUAGUUGAGUGACCGUUUAGGAAUACCAAGUGCUGUCAU
Non-coding RNA from Acanthosepion pharaonis, 110 nucleotides. NCBI's taxonomy places the organism in Eukaryota, Metazoa, Mollusca, Cephalopoda, Sepiida, Sepiidae. The record is from the annotation of a GenBank genome assembly.